AAUAAAACAAAUGCAAUAAGCAAGAGGAAAUAAGUUGCCAAUAAAUGGUCUUACACUUGACUCCAAGGAAAUAGGAUGCCAAUCAAUGGUCUUAGUCCCAACUCCUACCAGAUCAUAGGAAACAACUGCCAAUAAAUGGACUUACAAUUGACUCCUCAAUGGACAAAACAAAAUGUCACAAAGUAUGAACAAUGAUCAUGUUAAUGGUAUACAAUUAAUGAAAACAAAUGCACAAAGGCACACACAAACCAUUAUGCACAUAUGGG
RNAcentral lists this long non-coding RNA (266 nucleotides) under Lathyrus oleraceus (garden pea). Its description in RNAcentral is "Pisum sativum (pea) long non-coding RNA (PSAT_LNC021269)". The record is from RNAcentral. Lineage: Eukaryota; Viridiplantae; Streptophyta; Magnoliopsida; Fabales; Fabaceae.